UGAGGAAUAUUGGUCAAUGGGCGAGAGCCUGAACCAGCCAAGUAGCGUGCAGGAUGACGGCCCUAUGGGUUGUAAACUGCUUUUGUAUGGGGAUAAAGUCAGUCACGUGUGAUUGUUUGCAGGUACCAUACGAAUAAGGACCGGCUAAUUCCGUGCCAGCAGCCGCGGUAAUACGGAAGGUCCGGGCGUUAUCCGGAUUUAUUGGGUUUAAAGGGAGCGUAGGCUGGAGAUUAAGUGUGUUGUGAAAUGUAGACGCUCAACGUCUGACUUGCAGCGCAUACUGGUUUCCUUGAGUACGCACAACGUUGGCGGAAUUCGUCGUGUAGCGGUGAAAUGCUUAGAUAUGACGAAGAACUCCGAUUGCGAAGGCAGCUGACGGGAGCGCAACUGACGCUGAAGCUCGAAGGUGCGGGUAUCGAACAGGAUUAGAUACCCUGGUAGUCCGCACAGUAAACGAUGGAUGCCCGCUGUUGGUACGUGGUAUCAGCGGCUAAGCGAAAGCAUUAAGCAUCCCACCUGGGGAGUACGCCGGCAACGGUG
RNAcentral lists this ribosomal RNA (540 nucleotides) under uncultured bacterium. RNAcentral's name for it is "bacterial SSU rRNA". It matches the Rfam family "Bacterial small subunit ribosomal RNA", at positions 355 to 896 of the family's 1533-position model. The record is from RNAcentral.